UCCACAUGACGGGUCGAGACCCUCUUCCCUUGCCGCCGCCUCCUCUCCUCUCCCUCGAUUCUCCUUGCGCCGCCACCCUCGUUCUGCAUCCGCGCCUGCUCUGAGCCCCUUCUCUUCCCCAUGCCGCCAGCCUCCUCCUCUGUACCCCUCCUCUUACCAUGCCGCCGACCUCCUCCUCUCCGCCUCUCCUUGUCGGUCGUCGCUCCAAUUCAUGGACCUCCUUGCCGCGGUUGUAGUGGUCGAACAAGACGAAGAGGAGCUGCAGCAUCGGGUCGGUGCAGCGGCCGGCUGCAGGGGCCUCGGUGGAAGAGACCAUCGAUGGCCGUGGACGGCACGGAUGACGACCAGCUGGUCUCAAUAUCCACGGAGGACGUCGUCCGGGCCUCCCGCCUUGUCAACAACGAGAUCCGCGUCCUCGAGGCAAGCCGCACCCUCCCAAACCUAGACCCCCUUGCUUCCGCGGAGCCAAGCAGGAAAUCUCAUGAGACUUGUUCCCUUGUUUUGUUUGUAGUUUUGGUUUAGGUCUGAUUGAUUGGCAUUUCUAUAUCACCCCUCGCUGACGAUGGCACAUAGGACGAGCUGCAGCGAAGGAACCUGGAGAGUGGAGACCCUCAAGGACUUGCAUCAUGAAGAUAGCAGUUAAAAGGUGGCUUCAGUUCUGGGCAUGAACCAGUAUGGUGGUGUUUGGGAAACUGUUGGUAAAGUCACUUAGGACCUAACGGUGCUGAAAACAUACCUACCGAUGGAGAGAAGGGCACAAGAGGGACCGCUGAGCAUAAUGAUUCCAUAACUAGGCUAAAACAAGCAUCAGCAACUAAUGUUUCAGCGGUUGCCGCAAAGGCUAAGUCGCUGAUCAGGAGGAAGAUCAAUUUCUAUGCCUCCUUGCAUGUGCUACAAUGAUCGUUCUCACAUUUAGAAAUUGGAUUUAGUCUUUGGUUCAUGUUGAGGAGUUUGGAUUAUUGUGAGGACAACUUUUUGGAGUUUAGUUUACCCUGAGUAAUUGUUGUAGGAGUUGGGAGUGCUCUAUAUGCUCUGUGAUGACUACUUGCACUACAGGAGCCUCCCAACGAAGGUCAUCUUUCUCACCUUUCUACCCCUCCAGCCCCUCCCUCUAAAUCCCAUUGUGACUUUCAUGUGAAAGAGACUAGAUCAUGCAUAAGAAAGGGCAGAUUAGCAUUUCAUUGGUGUGUGCGCAUCGGCAGUGAGCUUUUGUGCUACUUUUAUUUCAGAGUGAUGACCAGUACUGCUAAUGUUGGCAGAUACUCUAUUUUAUUUUGUGUUGCACUUAGCUCAAAUUAUUAUAUUUUCUUUAGAUGUCGGGUGAAAAGAGGUACCAAUAGAAUAUAUACCAGAUACUGAUUAUCUGCGAAAAAUUCUUAGCAUGUGGCCAUCUAAACGUAUUUGUUUUUCUAAGCCGCACAAACCAGGUUCAAAGAGUUGUAAGAAAGGAGAACUACCUGAAAUCAUGUACCAACUACUAACGCCUACCAACAAUCAGGUCGGUUCAGAACCAGUCGCAGAAAAGAACCAACGGAAUUAUGCUCAUACAGCGAAUGGGAAGGACAACUUUUAACCAAGAUGGCUUCUAGAUCAAUGUAAAAUAAUAGAUAUAGCUAACACUUGCAGCACCAUCUCCUUUCCGGUGAGAUCGGGGAAGUGGUUGAGGCCGAGGGGGUACGUGUAGACCCUGGUUUCGACCGCGGUGUUGUGUGGAUCGACGAGGCGAAAAAGGAAUUUUCUCAAAAGAAAAAGGGGAUGGAUGAUGGAUAGUACUACCUCUGAUUGGCUUUUAUUGAAUGGAUUCUGACUGUUGUCUUGCACUAAACUGAACAAGUGCCCAUGCAGUUUCACAAUCUGAACUUUCAUUUCAUUAAACAAGAAAAGCGAGGUUGGUCAUUGAUGAUGCAUUUAUGGAUCCAUUUGAUGAUGAAUCCUAUCCCAUCCCAUCUUGAAUACCCCUCUCUGCAUUUCAAAGGUACUAGCUAGCAUUACCAUGUUUGUGUUUGUCGAUCAAGUUUUCAGAUCAAUAGCUAUUAUUUUUGUUCUGAAUGUUUUAUAUAUGAUAACUUUUGUACAUACUGGUGUCCAUAUAAGUCAGCUAUGUAGUCUUGAUAUUUCAUAUGUACCUUCAAUUUUUUUGCCUCAAGUAAUGAGAUUAAAAUAAGUUUUAUGUUGUGCAGCAAAUAUCUUGAGAGUGACCACUCCAAAACUUUAUGUUGGUAGGUACAUAUUUGAUAGCAUACUGUAGUCAAGGAAGGGGAGUGCGUCCGCUGCUGUAUGAGAAAAAGUGCACGCAACUGAGGACCCAAGAUGCUAACGGUGCAGAGCCGUUCACCAUCGAGAGGACCAGGGCCACCAUCAGGAAUCUCCGGACCAAGCUCAACAUCACCAUCGCCUUUGUCAAAGACAUGUCCCGGAGGGUAGUUGCUGUCUGCGACGACUCAUCCAAAUGCUGGCAAGGAUGUGGCGAGUCAUUGGCGAUGUGCACCGGGUGACGAAGCGCAUAGCGGAUGAGGUGAGCGAGCUUCUCCCACAGUCGCCACACGGUCGGAGGCAUCAGAGGCACACCGCCGCCGCUGGGGCCUACACAUGCGCAAUUUCUAUUGUUGUAUCUUAUUAGUUGCCAUGCAGCAAGAUGCUUCUGUCGAUGGUAUUAUAUUGUUGUGUGUUGUCUGUGAUGGAAUAUUAUUUUCUUUCUCACGUGAUGUAUAAAUAUAAUAAGUUUAUCAAGAAUUUCAUAUCCAGAUCCAAAAAGGAAACUGAAAGGGUCGUUCCCUGGUGCCA
Triticum aestivum (bread wheat) is the source of this 2784-nucleotide RNA transcript. RefSeq lists it as uncharacterized. The record is from RefSeq and is a predicted model, not a curated record. NCBI's taxonomy places the organism in Eukaryota, Viridiplantae, Streptophyta, Magnoliopsida, Poales, Poaceae. The transcript is spliced from 5 exons.